AUUAUACUCCCUCCAUUUCGAAUUAUUUGUCUUAGAUUUGUUUAGAUAUGGAGGUAUCUAGUAUUAAAAUGAGUCUAGAUACAUCCGUAUCUAGACAAAUCCAAGACAAGUAAUUCGGAACGGAGGGAGUAAUAA
Molecule: non-coding RNA, 135 nt
Organism: Triticum aestivum (bread wheat)
Lineage: Eukaryota; Viridiplantae; Streptophyta; Magnoliopsida; Poales; Poaceae
Source: Rfam